Molecule: ribosomal RNA, 425 nt
Filed under: uncultured bacterium
Lineage: Bacteria
Description: partial 16S ribosomal RNA
Rfam family: Bacterial small subunit ribosomal RNA
Source: RNAcentral
GUGGGGAAUCUUGCGCAAUGGGCGAAAGCCUGACGCAGCCAUGCCGCGUGAAUGAUGAAGGUCUUAGGAUUGUAAAAUUCUUUCACCGGGGACGAUAAUGACGGUACCCGGAGAAGAAGCCCCGGCUAACUUCGUGCCGGCAGCCGCGGUAAUACGAAGGGGGCUAGCGUUGCUCGGAAUUACUGGGCGUAAAGGGCGCGUAGGCGGACAGUUUAGUCAGAGGUGAAAGCCCAGGGCUCAACCUUGGAAUUGCCUUUGAUACUGGCUGUCUUGAGUACGGGGGAGGUGAGUGGAACUCCGAGUGUAGAGGUGAAAUUCGUAGAUAUUCGGAAGAACACCAGUGGCGAAGGCGACUCACUGGCCCGUUACUGACGCUGAGGCGCGAAAGCGUGGGGAGCAAACAGGAUUAGAUACCCGUGUAGUCC